AGUACGCACGCAAGUGUGAAACUCAAAGGAAUUGACGGGGACCCGCACAAGUAGCGGAGCAUGUGGUUUAAUUCGAAGCAACGCGAAGAACCUUACCUAAGCUUGACAUCCCAUUGACCUCUCCCUAAUCGGAGAUUUCCCUUCGGGGACAGUGGUGACAGGUGGUGCAUGGUUGUCGUCAGCUCGUGUCGUGAGAUGUUGGGUUAAGUCCCGCAACGAGCGCAACCCUUGCCUUUAGUUGCCAGCAUUAAGUUGGGCACUCUAGAGGGACUGCCGAGGAUAACUCGGAGGAAGGUGGGGAUGACGUCAAAUCAUCAUGCCCCUUAUGCUUAGGGCUACACACGUGCUACAAUGGGUGGUACAGAGGGUUGCCAAACCGUGAGGUGGAGCUAAUCCCUUAAAGCCAUUCUCAGUUCGGAUUGUAGGCUGAAACUCGCCUACAUGAAGCUGGAGU
This 454-nucleotide ribosomal RNA is filed under the name uncultured bacterium. Its description in RNAcentral is "bacterial SSU rRNA". It matches the Rfam family "Bacterial small subunit ribosomal RNA", at positions 879 to 1332 of the family's 1533-position model. The record is from RNAcentral.